AGUGAACGCUGGCGGUAGGCCUAACACAUGCAAGUCGAACGGCAGCACAGUAAGAGCUUGCUCUUACGGGUGGCGAGUGGCGGCCGGGUGAGGAAUACAUCGGAAUCUACUUUUUCGUGGGGGAUAACGUAGGGAAACUUACGCUAAUACCGCAUACGACCUACGGGUGAAAGCAGGGGAUCUUCGGACCUUGCGCGAUUGAAUGAGCCGAUGUCGGAUUAGCUAGUUGGCGGGGUAAAGGCCCACUAAGGCGACGAUCCGUAGCUGGUCUGAGAGGAUGAUCAGCCACACUGGAACUGAGACACGGUCCAGACUCCUACGGGAGGCAGCAGUGGGGAAUAUUGGACAAUGGGCGCAAGCCUGAUCCAGCCAUACCGCGUGGGUGAAGAAGGCCUUCGGGUUGUAAAGCCCUUUUGUUGGGAAAGAAAAGCAGCAGGUUAAUACCCCGCUGUUCUGACGGUACCCAAAGAAUAAGCACCGGCUAACUUCGUG
This 492-nucleotide ribosomal RNA is filed under the name uncultured bacterium. Its description in RNAcentral is "partial 16S ribosomal RNA". It matches the Rfam family "Bacterial small subunit ribosomal RNA", at positions 29 to 507 of the family's 1533-position model. The record is from RNAcentral.